Molecule: ribosomal RNA, 504 nt
Filed under: uncultured bacterium
Lineage: Bacteria
Description: partial 16S ribosomal RNA
Rfam family: Bacterial small subunit ribosomal RNA
Source: RNAcentral
AUUGAACGCUGGCGGCAGGCCUAACACAUGCAAGUCGAACGGUAGCACAGAGAGCUUGCUCUCGGGUGACGAGUGGCGGACGGGUGAGUAACGUCUGGGAAACUGCCCGAGGGAGGGGGAUAACUACUGGAAACGGUAGCUAAUAACGCAUAACGUCGCAAGACAAAAGUGGGGGACCUUCGGGCCUCACACCAUCGGAUGUGCCCAGAUGGGAUUAGCUAGUAGGUGGGGUAAUGGCUCACCUAGGCGACGAUCCCUAGCUGGUCUGAGAGGAUGACCAGCCACACUGGAACUGAGACACGGUCCAGACUCCUACGGGAGGCAGCAGUGGGGAAUAUUGCACAAUGGGCGCAAGCCUGAUGCAGCCAUGCCGCGUGUAUGAAGAAGGCCUUCGGGUUGUAAAGUACUUUCAGCGGGGAGGAAGGCGGUGAAGUUAAUAACUUCACCGAUUGACGUUACCCGCAGAAGAAGCACCGGCUAACUCCGUGCCAGCCGCCGCAGUAA